CGCGUGAGGAACCUGCCUCAAAGAGGGGGACAACAGUUGGAAACGACUGCUAAUACUGCAUAAGCCCACAGCUCGGCAUCGAGCAGAGGGAAAAGGAGCAAUCCGCUUUGAGAUGGCCUCGCGUCCGAUUAGCCAGUUGGUGAGGUAACGGCCCACCAAGGCGACGAUCGGUAGCCGGACUGAGAGGUUGAACGGCCACAUUGGGACUGAGACACGGCCCAG
RNAcentral lists this ribosomal RNA (222 nucleotides) under uncultured bacterium. Its description in RNAcentral is "partial 16S ribosomal RNA". It matches the Rfam family "Bacterial small subunit ribosomal RNA", at positions 114 to 334 of the family's 1533-position model. The record is from RNAcentral.